This 74-nucleotide transfer RNA is filed under the name Patescibacteria group bacterium. RNAcentral's name for it is "tRNA-Glu". It matches the Rfam family "tRNA". From Rfam's summary of the family: Transfer RNA (tRNA) molecules are approximately 80 nucleotides in length. Their secondary structure includes four short double-helical elements and three loops (D, anti-codon, and T loops). The record is from RNAcentral.
GCCGCCAUCGUCUAGUCUGGUUAGGACGCAGGGUUCUCAUCCCUGUAACACCGGUCCGAAUCCGGUUGGCGGUA